Peromyscus maniculatus bairdii (prairie deer mouse) is the source of this 959-nucleotide non-coding RNA. NCBI's taxonomy places the organism in Eukaryota, Metazoa, Chordata, Mammalia, Rodentia, Cricetidae. The record is from RefSeq and is a predicted model, not a curated record.
CACAGAUGAGGUGGAUAUUGGCGUGGGCCAACACAUAAACCUGGUUCUGGACCUGGACAGUGGCGGGCUUGGUCAGCCUGCCAUCUCUCGUCCUCACCACCAGGGGGAGCUCUCCUGCAUUGUCUUGUCGCUAUCAAGACAGAGAACGCAGAGCUUGGGACAGACAGGUCCUGACAUUCCAUCUCAGCUACUGUCCAGCCACUGUCCAAUGACUAUUCUCCUGUCCUCCCGACUCCUCUCCUCUCCUUUCUGUACAGUAGAACCAGCCAGUACCUUCUCUGUAAUUACAUGACUACAACACAAGGUGUCGCUGCAGCGGGAGCAAAGCAAUGGGAGCGAGGCAAAGCAGUCAAGCAAGGCAGAGAUGUUCUCGGCAGUAACCUGGAGCGGAAGUCCAAACUGGCUUCUGGAGCAGAGAUGCUUCUUGGAAAAUGCCAAAGAAGAUUCUGGUCAUAGUUUCUGAUUUUAGGGCCUACUUGUUUUUUUCACACUCUUAGUACUUGAUCCUGCUUUUUAUAUUGAAAGAAGAUACUAAAGAGGCAGGAGAGGCUGAGGGCAAAGAAGAAAUGUAAUGGAUGGCUCAAGGUCCUGGGACAAGUAAAAGGAGAAGACUGGAGUCCUGUGUGUGAGUAGGAAGAUGAGCCCUGAAAGAAAGAAGGGUCCUCUCUUGGCUGAGACUAGGGGGAGUGUGUGGGGGUGUUUGGUGUGUCUGGGCCUGGGGACCUAGAGUGAGGCAGCUAUUUGAGGAAAUCCAAACCAAAGGGCUCAGUGAAAAAGGAUGCACACUUCCCUUGUGAAUGAGAGCCACAGGGGUUAGAAAGAACCACAAAUGGAGCUGUUGUGGAAUAUGAUUUUAACUAUGUAAAGAUGUGUCGCAUCUGUUUCACCUUGCCUGUCUAGGGCGCCUGGUUGGCCUAAUAAAAAGCUGAAUGGCUAAUAGCUAGGCAGGAGAAGGAUAG